RNAcentral lists this long non-coding RNA (214 nucleotides) under Mytilus galloprovincialis (Mediterranean mussel). Lineage: Eukaryota; Metazoa; Mollusca; Bivalvia; Mytilida; Mytilidae. The record is from RNAcentral.
ACCGUAGUUUCACUUUCAUUGUUGACAUUCUUUUUCUUUAAAUAACCAGUACACGUACAAUGCAUGCGUUGUCAAUUUCUAGCUAGGGGUUAAAUUGAAGUUCACAUGAAUGCGGAUUUAAAGAGGUCGACUCAUUCACUUGCAAGUGAAUAACUAAUUAUCAAUGUUUCUUAGCGUAAUUUGACAAAAUUGAACCUUUUUGGCUGCAAAAAGC